Molecule: long non-coding RNA, 657 nt
Organism: Sarcophilus harrisii (Tasmanian devil)
Lineage: Eukaryota; Metazoa; Chordata; Mammalia; Dasyuromorphia; Dasyuridae
Exons: 3
Source: RefSeq, a predicted model, not a curated record
UCAUGAAGAUGAAUCUCCCUAAUUCCCUAAUAGCUUCUCAAAUGGAAGUUGCUUCGAUGGAGGGGAUGCUGAAGACAAAUUUCACCUGAUCUACAAUUUCCCUUAAGAUUUUUAAAAAGGGGGAAGGAGGAAGCAAUUCAGCAAAACCAGUGCUCACAUCAAUCAAGUCUGACAAUGACAUGCGGUGAAUAAGUAUCAAAGAUGAAGUGGAUUUGGUUUCAUGAGCUUCAGAAUGUUGGAAAUGCCAUCAAAGGUCCCCUAACUGAAUGGCAGUAGUAGCUGAAUUCAUGAGGAGGAAUCUCCUUGAUUCAGCCCAUUGUGAAUCAUCCUGGCAGCUAAGCUAUUGUUGGGAGAAACUUGUCCAUCAGCUAUGCUAUGCCCAGUUGGCACAGAGUGAACUUGAUGAGUACUUUGCAAAGGCAGAAAAGGAUUCCCAUUGGCAAGAGUUAUGCUUCAGUAAACUAUAUUCCCCAAAUGUAUGUUUCAAUAUUUUCUGCCUCAAGGGUGAGUGAAGGAGAGAGCACUACCCAAGUUUAGGAUGUGUGUAAUGUCUGAAACCAUUAUCUCUAGGUAUCAAGUAUCUAUAUAUGUGGAAUAGAGAGAUAAGGUGAAGAACUUACAGAAAUGUAUGAAUUCUUUUUCUGUAUUUUAUUUUCA